CUCUCUUUCUCCUUCCUUCCUUCCUUCUCCCUCCUCCUCCUCCUUCUUCUUCUUCUUCCUCUUCUUCUUUCCCUCCCUCCCUCCCUGCCUUCCUUUCUCUCUUUCUCUCUCUCUCCUUCUUCUCCCUCUCUCUCUCUCUCCUUCUCUCUCCCUCUCUCUCUCUCUCCUUCUUCUCCCUCUCUCUCUCUCUCCUUCUCUCUCCCUCUCUCUCUCCUUCUCUCUCCCUCUCCUUCUCUCUUUCUUUCUUUUUUUGACAGAGUUUCACUCUUCUUGCCCAGGCUGGAGUGCAAUGGCCUGGUCUUGGCUCACUGCAACCUCUGUGUCUUGGGUUCAAGCGAUUCUCCUGUCUCAGUCUCCUGAGUAGCUGGGAUUACAGGCAUGCGGCAACACGCCCAGCUAAUUUUUGUAUUUUUAGUAGAGAUAGGGUUUCACCAUGUUGGCCAGGCUGGUCUCGAGCUCCCGACCUCAGGUGAUCCGCCCACCUCUGCCUCCCAAAGUGCUGGGAUUACAGGCGUGAACCAUCGUGGCCUGGGCAAAUUCUACCUUUCCCUUGAGAAAAGCAAGAAAACCGAGGAAUGCAAGUCCUGUUAAAUGAUCAGACCCAGAGAGACAUUGAAGUGAGCCAGCCCUGGCAUCCUCCUUCACCCCCAGCUGCACAUUCAUCUAUUGAAGCUGCCUGCUGCUGCCACAGGUCAACACCGUCACCACUCAACUGAUAUCUUACUGCUUUUAUGAAGCCUUCCUUGAUUCCUCCGGCGGGGUGAUACCUCUCAGUAUCUUCCAUGGUAUGUUGAUGAAGAAAGACAUCUCAAUUUCCCUCUGAAUCUCCAGCUUCAGGGCAUGGUGGGCCAUUUGAAGACUUCUGGAGUCAAGAGAUAAAGGGAAGCAUUAGUUCCAUUGGGUCCUGUUUGAUCUUUAUACCAUCAACACGGAGCUCAGAGCUUCCCUGCUUCCCUUUCGCUCCUCAAGGUCACCAGAAGGACGUGGGCUUUUUGAUGUUCAAAGAAAGUCUGAAAGCCUCGCCUGGUCUUCUGAGCCUGAGCGUGCUGUUGGCAGGCUCUUCUGAAUCAAGUUGGGGCAGAGGAGGAUUCCUCGUCUCUUUCUGAGGCAGAUCCCACAGUCGUUAGGAGCUGGAUGAGCACGUUCUUUAAUAGAUUUCCUUUUUAUUUUUCUGGGUCUCAUCUGAAAUUUUUGACCCUUGCACGUCUCCAUUCUCUCAACCUUCUUUCUGACCAGAAAAUUCCUUCUGUAAUUUUGGCUACACAAGAGUAUCAAGGAAUGCUUAGGGGGCAAACAGAGUACUUCGAGAACAGCAUGCAUUCGGGCCAAGCUCCCAAGGCCAUGCUGAGCAUACGUCUCCAGCUCACAGCUUCGGGAAGCUGAGAGGAACAGAGGUCCUCAAUCUCAGAAAGAAAUAAAAGCAGAUCAGGGAAUCACCUCUCCCUUUUCCCUUAGUGAAAUAUUUUAAUGAGUUUUGAGGCUGUCUCUGUGUGUAUGAAAUGCCAGGAGUCUGCAUCUCAGCUGUUAUGACCAGAGGUCUUCUCUUGGGUGCUGGUGAGGACUGAGGACUAGCUGGCUUCAGGAAAGCUGCUUCAGCUGCUUUUCCUGCCAGCCACACAGCAGGAACAAGAAACAACUUUGGCUGGGCAUGGUGGCUCACGCCUGUAAUCCCAGCACUUUGGGAAGCCGAGCCAGGAGGAUCAGGAGGUCAGGAGUUCAAGACCAGCCUGGCCAUCAUAGUGAAACCCCAUCUCUACUAAAAAUACAAAAAAUUACCUGGGCCUGGUGGCGGGCGCCUGUAAUCCCAGCUACUCGGGAGGCCGAGGCAGGAGAAUCACUUGAAGCCAGGAGGCGGAGGUUUCAGUAAGCAGAGAUCACACCACUGCACUCCAGCCUGGAUGACAGUGCGAGACUCCAUUUCAAAAGAGAAAAAAAAGAAAAAGAAAAAGAAAAAGAAACAACUUUGCAGUUGUUUUUUUGCAGUUGUUGCACUGAGAGGAGUAGGAGGUAAGAGAGAGAGGGGGCAUGUGUUAGUUUGCCUGCUGUCACUCAGUGACUUGGAGGAAUGGAGAUUUAGGUCAAGGAUACAUUUCCAAGAAGGGAGACAAUAUGUCACAGUAUCCCCAGAACGAGCCAUGGGGCUGGGCUCAGAGACAUGGGAGCAUAGCUUGGGAACUUAAAGACACAACUCAAGUCACUAGGUUCUCUGACUCCCUCCGUCCCAGCCUCUGCAUUUAUUGGUCCCUUACAAUUAUGGUGACUCAGAAUGUCUCAGUUUCUACUUCUAGCACUCAGGACACAGCUCACUGGUGAUCUGAUUCUCCACCCUUUGCAUAUGUUUGUUUCUGUUGCUCUGAUCUUUGGCUUACUCAUGGCGUCUACCUACUUUUGGGCCUUCAUGGCCUGUCUUCCUUCUGUGUGAUUUUCAGUACUCUUUGGCUCCCACUCCCACAAUUAGCUGUUGAUUCUUUUUUCCUGUACCUUCUGUUUAAGUUCAAUAGAAAGAUAAUUUGAUUGGUUGGAGUGAAUCAUCACUAGCCUUCCUGCUCUUUGGUUAUGAGGUACUUCAUAGGUCCAACCUAUAGAGUUGGUCAACCUUGGGGCAGGAGCUCGCCCUAACUCCAACCAGCUUGGCCAGAGGCACCAACACGCUGGUCAAAGCAGGACAGCACAUAGAAGAUUUGAGAAAUGAUCUGCUUAAUGCAAUGGGUUUUAGGGGAUGACAGUUCUUUCACUUUGUAGCUGUGUGGCCUUGGGUGACUUCUUUAAUUUUUCUGAGCUUAUUUCUUUGCCUGUAAAAAUGUGGAUGAAGGUACUAUCUUGCAGUGAUGUGUGGAUUAGAGGUAAAUUAUCUAAAGUAUCUAAUAAACAGUGUGUG
RNAcentral lists this long non-coding RNA (2878 nucleotides) under Homo sapiens (human). Its description in RNAcentral is "HSALNT0135970". The record is from RNAcentral. Lineage: Eukaryota; Metazoa; Chordata; Mammalia; Primates; Hominidae.